This 370-nucleotide ribosomal RNA is filed under the name uncultured bacterium. RNAcentral's name for it is "bacterial SSU rRNA". It matches the Rfam family "Bacterial small subunit ribosomal RNA", at positions 527 to 896 of the family's 1533-position model. The record is from RNAcentral.
GUAGGGGGCAAGCGUUGUCCGGAUUUAUUGGGCGUAAAGAGCGUGUAGGCGGCCAGACAGGUCCGUUGUGAAAACUCGAGGCUCAACCUCGAGACGCCGAUGGAAACCGUCUGGCUAGAGUCCGGAAGAGGAGAGUGGAAUUCCUGGUGUAGCGGUGAAAUGCGCAGAUAUCAGGAAGAACACCGGUGGCGAAGGCGGCUCUCUGGACCGAUACUGACGCUGAGGCGCGAAAGCGUGGGGAGCAAACAGGAUUAGAUACCCUGGUAGUCCACGCUGUAAACGAUGUGUGCUAGACGUUGGGGAGCCUAGCUCUUCGGUGUCGCAGCUAACGCUUUAAGCACACCGCCUGGGGAGUACGGCCGCAAGGUUA